Tupaia belangeri chinensis (Chinese tree shrew) is the source of this 292-nucleotide long non-coding RNA. RefSeq lists it as uncharacterized. The record is from RefSeq and is a predicted model, not a curated record. The transcript has 3 exons. Lineage: Eukaryota; Metazoa; Chordata; Mammalia; Scandentia; Tupaiidae.
CACCACGGAUCUGGCCUGGACUUAGGCUGCUUUCCCAUGGUCUGGAGGUCAUGGUUGGAGGUCAGGAUGCCGGCAAGGCCUGUUGUCUCGUGGUUACAAGAUGGCUUCCAUAUCUCUCGGAAUCUUGCACUCAUGUGAGAGCUGAAGGUUGGGAAGACGGCACAGAUCCAAGGUGCAUGGUGGUGCAUUCUUGGCAAAGGCAAUGAACGCCCCUGACCAGACCUUCCCAUGGACCUCUGGGGCAUAGCAGUGAGGUCAGCAGCUCCUCACAGAGGCCGGCACACACGCCUUA